This 508-nucleotide ribosomal RNA is filed under the name uncultured bacterium. RNAcentral describes it as "bacterial SSU rRNA". It matches the Rfam family "Bacterial small subunit ribosomal RNA", at positions 975 to 1482 of the family's 1533-position model. The record is from RNAcentral.
CCAGGCUUGAACAGCGAGUGACCACUCCCGAAAGGGAGCUUCCGCAAGGACACUCGUAGAGGUGCUGCAUGGCUGUCGUCAGCUCGUGUCGUGAGAUGUUGGGUUAAGUCCCGCAACGAGCGCAACCCUUGUCUUCUGUUGCCAUCAGGUUAUGCUGGGCACUCUGGAGAGACUGCCGGUGAUAAACCGGGGGAAGGUGGGGAUGACGUCAAGUCAGCAUGGCCUUUAUGUCUGGGGCUACACACGUGCUACAAUGGCCGGCACAAACCGUCGCGAGCCCGCAAGGGGGAGCUAAUCGGAGAAAGUCGGUCUCAGUUCGGAUCGUCGGCUGCAACUCGCCGGCGUGAAGUUGGAAUCGCUAGUAAUCGCGGAUCAGCACGCCGCGGUGAAUACGUUCCCGGGCCUUGUACACACCGCCCGUCACAUCACGAAAGCCGGUUGUACUAGAAGCCGCCAUAUCAACCCGCAAGGGAGAGAGGCGUCUAAGGUAUGGUCGGUGAUUGGGGUG